AGUUUGGUAUAAGGGUUGUAAUGAAUUCGUGGUCUGAAGCCCUGCUUUCACCUGAACAAGAUUGGACGCCCGAGGAAAUAGUGGCCAAACUGGAUAAAUAUAUGGACUUUUUGUCUUCACUUAAAAAUUAUUUAUUCGAUGACUCAUAAGUAUCCUCGGAGCCAACAUGUGUCCCAAGCUGCACAAAAAUCCAAGACUUCAUUGGCCAGUAACGACAUUGUGCUGUAAGAUCACAUAAAUCGCCAGAAGAUGCAUGCAUUAUUAAAAUAUAACUUAUUACUAUAAUCAUGCAGUGCUUCAUUGUUCAGACAUACACGUGAACCACGAUUUCCCAUUACUAUACUAAACCUAGCAUUCAAUAUGUAAAUUAUAGAUAUCCCUAGUUUUAAAUGUGUUUAAUUGUAGAAUAUAGAAUAUAUAAUUGUAGAAUGUCCUUUUGGCCCAGUAACAUUUAUUACGCCGACUCCGCGGUAAACAGUCUUUAUUACUUUCAUUUUGUGAAGCGUUGACGAACCGUUGCCAUCACGACGGUGCCUCCACGUUCCAUUUGAUAUACUUUAUCCAGCAUGUCACAUAUUCUUGCUUCAAUUAUUUAAAAAGACCUGAAAGUUCUUUAUGGCUGAAGUUGGAUUCGCCACUUUGGCUCUAGGUUUUGAAUAUAUUACAUUAUCUCGAUUCACGUUUUCUACUCACAUUUAUCCAUGGUUAGCUAAUCCCCGCAAUUUCAUUCCAUUUCCUGACAAUUUUUCGGGACAAUCGAGCAAGAAAUCACAACAUUCUCUGGC
This is a non-coding RNA of Paramuricea clavata, 785 nucleotides long. The record is from the annotation of a GenBank genome assembly. Lineage: Eukaryota; Metazoa; Cnidaria; Anthozoa; Malacalcyonacea; Plexauridae.